This 229-nucleotide ribosomal RNA is filed under the name uncultured bacterium. RNAcentral's name for it is "partial 16S ribosomal RNA". It matches the Rfam family "Bacterial small subunit ribosomal RNA", at positions 568 to 796 of the family's 1533-position model. The record is from RNAcentral.
UACGUAGGCGGAAAAUUAAGUCAGUAGUGAAAUCCUGCAGCUUAACUGUAGAACUGUUAUUGAUACUGGUUUUCUUGAAUAUAGUUGAGGUAGGCGGAAUGUGUAAUGUAGCGGUGAAAUGCUUAGAUAUUACACAGAACACCGAUUGCGAAGGCAGCUUACUAAGCUAUGAUUGACACUGAGGGACGAAAGCGUGGGGAGCGAACAGGAUUAGAUACCCUGGUAGUCC